UCAGGAUAGCUCAGUCGGUACAGCAUAAGACUCUUAAUUUCAGGGUUGUGGGUUCAAGUCCCACACUGGGCAAAA
Non-coding RNA from Podarcis lilfordi (Lilford's wall lizard), 75 nucleotides. The record is from the annotation of a GenBank genome assembly. NCBI's taxonomy places the organism in Eukaryota, Metazoa, Chordata, Lepidosauria, Squamata, Lacertidae.